Molecule: ribosomal RNA, 477 nt
Filed under: uncultured bacterium
Lineage: Bacteria
Description: bacterial SSU rRNA
Rfam family: Bacterial small subunit ribosomal RNA
Source: RNAcentral
UCAGUCGACUCCUACGGGGAGGCAGCAGUGGGGAAUAGUUGCACAAUGGGGGAAACCCUGAUGCAGCCAUGCCGCGUGUGUGAAGAAGGCCUUCGGGUUGUAAAGCACUUUCAGUAGGGAGGAAGGUAGUGUAGUUAACACCUGCACUAUUUGACGUUACCUACAGAAGAAGCACCGGCUAACUCCGUGCCAGCAGCCGCGGUAAUACGGAGGGUGCGAGCGUUAAUCGGAAUUACUGGGCGUAAAGCGCAUGCAGGCGGCCUGUUAAGUCAGAUGUGAAAGCCCGGGGCUUAACCUCGGAAUUGCAUUUGAAACUGGCAGGCUAGAGUCUUGUAGAGGGGGGUAGGAAUUUCAGGUGUAGCGGUGAAAUGCGUAGAGAUCUGAAGGAAUACCAGUGGCGAAGGCGGCCCCCUGGACAAAGACUGACGCUCAGAUGCGAAAGCGUGGGGAGCAAACAGGAUUAGAUACCCCUGGUAG